Molecule: ribosomal RNA, 429 nt
Filed under: Chloroflexota bacterium
Lineage: Bacteria; Bacillati; Chloroflexota
Description: Chloroflexi bacterium partial 16S ribosomal RNA
Rfam family: Bacterial small subunit ribosomal RNA
Source: RNAcentral
UGGGGAAUAUUGCACAAUGGGCGCAAGCCUGAUGCAGCCAUGCCGCGUGUAUGAAGAAGGCCUUCGGGUUGUAAAGUACUUUCAGCGGGGAGGAAGGGAGUAAAGUUAAUACCUUUGCUCAUUGACGUUACCCGCAGAAGAAGCACCGGCUAACUCCGUGCCAGCAGCCGCGGUAAUACGGAGGGUGCAAGCGUUAAUCGGAAUUACUGGGCGUAAAGCGCACGCAGGCGGUUUGUUAAGUCAGAUGUGAAAUCCCCGGGCUCAACCUGGGAACUGCAUCUGAUACUGGCAAGCUUGAGUCUCGUAGAGGGGGGUAGAAGUCCAGGUGUAGCGGUGAAAUGCGUAGAGAUCUGGAGGAAUACCGGUGGCGAAGGCGGCCCCCUGGACGAAGUCUGACGCUCAGGUGCGAAAGCGUGGGGAGCAAACAGG